This is a non-coding RNA of Paramisgurnus dabryanus, 524 nucleotides long. Lineage: Eukaryota; Metazoa; Chordata; Actinopteri; Cypriniformes; Cobitidae. The record is from RefSeq and is a predicted model, not a curated record.
AGGGCAGAGAGCAGAAGCACCCAAAGGGUGGCGUAAAAAGGCCUCAGGAAAUGGGGUAUGGUUACUCCCUCUCUGGCCCUCAGCCUUAUCUGAAGCUCAUCUAUAACCCAACUGCAACUCAAAAAAUCUCAUUUGAGUAUGGCAUUACAAUGCUUCUCCCCUCAUUCAUGAAGGCGGAGUCUGAAAAUAAUUAAGGGUCACACAAAGCUGGCAGUGAACUCUAUAAUCGAAACAAAGUGGUAAGACAGAAUGCCAAUGCGAUUUAUCAACUUUUAGGUCAUACUGUAAUUUCACUUUGGCAUAUACUACUGUUUUAUUCUUUCCACAGGUGAUUGAAUAUCAGUAUUGCACUAAAAUGUAUAGAUAUUAGAUAAAAGUAUACAUGUAUUAAUUCUUAUUAACAAAGUAACCUACAGUGCCUGCUUCUCCGCUUUAUGUACUUAAGAAUCUGUUCAUUAAAAUGUCAGCAUUAACACUGUGACUUUUAUCAUGUGUUUCAUUUCACUUCAUUUAUUUUAAUCAGA